AGAUGGGUCAUUUAGGGAUCUUAUUAGAAGACAGAUUACGACUUAAUAAAUCUGGGAGGGGCCUGGGAUUGUGCAAUUCUGAACGUUCCCAGAUGGUGCUGAU
RNAcentral lists this microRNA precursor (103 nucleotides) under Marmota monax (woodchuck). Lineage: Eukaryota; Metazoa; Chordata; Mammalia; Rodentia; Sciuridae. The record is from RNAcentral.